GACGAACGCUGGCGGCGUGCUUAACACAUGCAAGUCGAACGGUGAAGGGACCAGCUUGCUGGUUCUGGAUGAGUGGCGAACGGGUGAGUAACACGUGAGUAACCUGCCCCCUUCUUCUGGAUAACCGCAUGAAAGUGUGGCUAAUACGGGAUAUUCUGGGUCUGUCGCAUGGCGGGCCCGGGAAAGAUAUUGCUUCGGUGGGGGAUGGGCUCGCGGCCUAUCAGCUUGUUGGUGGGGUGAUGGCCUACCAAGGCGGUGACGGGUAGCCGGCCUGAGAGGGUGUACGGUCACACUGGGACUGAGACACGGCCCAGACUCCUACGGGAGGCAGCAGUGGGGAAGAUUGCACAAUGGGCGCAAGCCUGAUGCAGCGACGCCGCGUGAGGGAGGGAGGCCUUCGGGUUGUAAACCUCUUUCGCCAGUGAAGCAGGCCUGCUCCUUGUGGGUGGGUUGACGGUAGCUGGAUAAGAAGCGCCGGCUAACUACGUG
RNAcentral lists this ribosomal RNA (489 nucleotides) under uncultured bacterium. RNAcentral describes it as "partial 16S ribosomal RNA". It matches the Rfam family "Bacterial small subunit ribosomal RNA", at positions 28 to 507 of the family's 1533-position model. The record is from RNAcentral.